UGAAGGCGUUGGAGAUGUCUAUAGACACC
Molecule: small RNA, 29 nt
Filed under: Bombyx mori (domestic silkworm)
Lineage: Eukaryota; Metazoa; Arthropoda; Insecta; Lepidoptera; Bombycidae
Description: piRNA piR-bmo-1550007
Source: RNAcentral